UGUCUCUGCAUUUCUCCUAAAACGUUGUGUCCACUUCAUAAAAAGCCAAAAGUUCAUUUUAUUUCUUUGCACCAUUAUUAUUAAUUUAAAUAAAUUGGCAUAUCAAUGAAGUCCAGCAGGUUUGGCAUUUGGUUUUCGAUUUGGUUUUGCAUCAUACGUUUAUUGUAAUUAGUUCUUUGAUGAUGCAGGAACAAAUAAAGUUAUGCAUUUGCAAGAAUGAAGCAGAUCCAUUUUUUAGAGGAAUUUUGACUGGAUUACACAAAGGAAAUUAGAUCGAGAAAAAGGAAAAAGAUUUUUGCUCAAGCUGUCGUUGGUUGCAUUCGAGCGAAUCAAGCAGAUUGGACUGAUUGUCAACUGACAUAAGAAAGAUACAACAUAUUCCGAACUUGUUUUCUUCUCAAAAAGUAGCUGGAUAUUACUUCAUGAAGAUCAGAUACAUAUGUAUUGGUUGUGAAAUAUUUUGAGUAUAACUAGAUUGACCCCUUUGAGUGUUUGGGGGCAUAAAAAAAAAGUGAUUGUGAAAUUGUUAUUGCUACUGGGCUACUGGCAUAGUUUUUGUUUUUUGGUAAU
Lycium barbarum (goji berry) is the source of this 570-nucleotide long non-coding RNA. RefSeq lists it as uncharacterized. NCBI's taxonomy places the organism in Eukaryota, Viridiplantae, Streptophyta, Magnoliopsida, Solanales, Solanaceae. The record is from RefSeq and is a predicted model, not a curated record. The transcript is spliced from 3 exons.